ACACUCCUGCGGGAGGCAGCAGUGGGGAAUUUUGGACAAUGGGCGAAAGCCUGAUCCAGCAAUGCCGCGUGAGUGAAGAAGGCCUUCGGGUUGUAAAGCUCUUUUGUCAGGGAAGAAACGGUGAGAGCUAAUAUCUCUUGCUAAUGACGGUACCUGAAGAAUAAGCACCGGCUAACUACGUGCCAGCAGCCGCGGUAAUACGUAGGGUGCAAGCGUUAAUCGGAAUUACUGGGCGUAAAGCGUGCGCAGGCGGUUUUGUAAGUCUGAUGUGAAAUCCCCGGGCUCAACCUGGGAAUUGCAUUGGGGACUGCAAGGCUAGAAUCUGGCAGAGGGGGGUAGAAUUCCACGUGUAGCAGUAAAAUGCGUAGAUAUGUGGAGGAACACCGAUGGCGAAGGCAGCCCCCUGGGUCAAGAUUGACGCUCAUGCACGAAAGCGUGGGGAGCAAACAGGAUUAGAUACCCCUGUAGUCCCAUGA
This 476-nucleotide ribosomal RNA is filed under the name uncultured organism. RNAcentral's name for it is "partial 16S ribosomal RNA". It matches the Rfam family "Bacterial small subunit ribosomal RNA", at positions 333 to 800 of the family's 1533-position model. The record is from RNAcentral.